This 498-nucleotide ribosomal RNA is filed under the name uncultured bacterium. Its description in RNAcentral is "partial 16S ribosomal RNA". It matches the Rfam family "Bacterial small subunit ribosomal RNA", at positions 30 to 523 of the family's 1533-position model. The record is from RNAcentral.
AUUGAACGCUGGCGGCAUGCCUUACACAUGCAAGUCGAACGGUAACAGGUUUUCGGAUGCUGACGAGUGGCGAACGGGUGAGUAAUACAUCGGAACGUGCCUAGUAGUGGGGGAUAACUACUCGAAAGAGUGGCUAAUACCGCAUGAGAUCUACGGAUGAAAGCAGGGGAUCGCAAGACCUUGUGCUACUAGAGCGGCCGAUGGCAGAUUAGGUAGUUGGUGGGAUAAAAGCUUACCAAGCCGACGGUCUGUAGCUGGUCUGAGAGGACGAUCAGCCACACUGGGACUGAGACACGGCCCAGACUCCUACGGGAGGCAGCAGUGGGGAAUUUUGGACAAGGGGCGAAAGCCUGAUUCAGCAAUGCCGCGUGCAGGAUGAAGGCCUUCGGGUUGUAAACUGCUUUUGUACGGAACGAAAAGCCCUGGGUUAAUACCCUGGGGUCAUGACGGUACCGUAAGAAUAAGCACCGGCUAACUACGUGCCAGCCGCCGCGGUAA